This is a ribosomal RNA of Leucobacter chromiiresistens, 74 nucleotides long. Lineage: Bacteria; Bacillati; Actinomycetota; Actinomycetes; Micrococcales; Microbacteriaceae. The record is from Rfam.
UACGGCGGCUAUAGCGUCAGGGAAACGCCCGGUCACAUUCCGAACCCGGAAGCUAAGACUGACUGCGCACCUGA